Molecule: small nucleolar RNA, 71 nt
Organism: Xenopus tropicalis (tropical clawed frog)
Lineage: Eukaryota; Metazoa; Chordata; Amphibia; Anura; Pipidae
Source: Ensembl
GGUGCAGAUGAUGUUGUAAAGCGAUCAAAGUAUGAAACUGAUGAUUCCAAUCCUAUUACUACUGAUGCACC